RNAcentral lists this long non-coding RNA (670 nucleotides) under Homo sapiens (human). RNAcentral describes it as "HSALNT0364983". The record is from RNAcentral. Lineage: Eukaryota; Metazoa; Chordata; Mammalia; Primates; Hominidae.
CAGGAACUCAAGACACAGAAAGGCCAAGUAAUUUGUCCAACUUCAUAUGCUAGACUGGAAGAAGGAGCCCAGCCUCAAGUCAGGAAAAGGAGGAAAGAGAACACCUGACAUUUGCCACUGAGGUGGAAUAAAGGAAUCGUCUUCGUCUUUACAGUUUUAGAAAUGAAGAAAUGAAUCUUAGAGAGCUUAAAGUGAGUCGUCCAAAGAAGCACAACUAGUAAUUGGAAGAUCGGUUAUGUCAACUAAGGCCUAUCUGACCUCAGAGUCCACUGCCUCAGACACACAAUGUCAUAAUGAAUGCUACUCCAUGGAGGAAAUUAUGUGGAUAAAGAGAAAUGAUCUGGCUAAGCAUGUUUUGAACGGUUAUAAAUUCAUAUUCACAUAUGUUGUGAUAUAUGCACAUACGUAUAUAUAAAUGUAGAUAUACGAGAUAUAUAUGGAUAUAUGGAUAUAUAGAUAGACCCCCAUUUAGCACUGUCCCAUGCAACCCAGAUUAGUUCUAACAUUAUUUAGUUCUAAAUCAAUUUCUUGAUACCAGUGGUUUUUAAAAUGUGCCACUGAGGUCAGCAGUCAGUCUCGGCAUCACUUGGGGACUUGGUAGAUCAGAAAUGCAGAUUCUAGAGCCCCACCCCACACUACUGAAUCAAGAACUCAGGGAGUAAGACUCAGU